GAUCAUGGCUCAGGAUGAACGCUAGCUACAGGCUUAACACAUGCAAGUCGAGGGGCAUCAUGACGAUAGCUUGCUACUGUUGAUGGCGACCGGCGCACGGGUGAGUAACGCGUAUCCAACCUUCCCCUUAGUAGAGGAUAGCCCGGCGAAAGUCGGAUUAAUACUCUAUGUUGUUCGAUGCGGACAUCUAAGUUGAACCAAAGGUUUACCGCUAAGGGAUGGGGAUGCGUCUGAUUAGGUAGUAGGCGGGGUAACGGCCCACCUAGCCUACGAUCAGUAGGGGUUCUGAGAGGAAGGUCCCCCACAUUGGAACUGAGACACGGUCCAAACUCCUACGGGAGGCAGCAGUGAGGAAUAUUGGUCAAUGGCCGAGAGGCUGAACCAGCCAAGUAGCGUGCAGGAAUGACGGCCCUAUGGGUUGUAAACUGCUUUUGUAUGGGGAUAAAGUUCACUACGUGUAGUGAUUUGCAGGUACCAUAUGAAUAAGGACCGGCUAAUUCCGUGCCAGCAGCCGC
RNAcentral lists this ribosomal RNA (515 nucleotides) under uncultured bacterium. RNAcentral describes it as "bacterial SSU rRNA". It matches the Rfam family "Bacterial small subunit ribosomal RNA", at positions 15 to 518 of the family's 1533-position model. The record is from RNAcentral.